UUGGGAUAGCUCAGUUGGUA
RNAcentral lists this transfer RNA (20 nucleotides) under Senecio glaucophyllus subsp. glaucophyllus. Its description in RNAcentral is "partial tRNA-Phe". Lineage: Eukaryota; Viridiplantae; Streptophyta; Magnoliopsida; Asterales; Asteraceae. The record is from RNAcentral.